GAUGAACGCUAGCUACAGGCUUAACACAUGCAAGUCGCGGGGCAGCAUGGGGGUUGCUUGCAACUCCCGAUGGCGACCGGCGCACGGGUGAGUAACGCGUAUCCAACCUGCCCUUCACCACGGGAUAACCCGGCGAAAGUCGGACUAAUACCGUAUGUUGUCCAUUGACGGCAUCCGAUUUGGACGAAAGGCUUUGCGGUGAAGGAUGGGGAUGCGUCCGAUUAGCCAGACGGCGGGGUAACGGCCCACCGUGGCUACGAUCGGUAGGGGUUCUGAGAGGAAGGUCCCCCACACUGGAACUGAGACACGGUCCAGACUCCUACGGGAGGCAGCAGUGAGGAAUAUUGGUCAAUGGGCGUAAGCCUGAACCAGCCAAGUAGCGUGCAGGAUGACGGCCCUAUGGGUUGUAAACUGCUUUUAUGCGGGGAUAAAGUGGCCCACGUGUGGGCUUUUGCAGGUACCGCAUGAAUAAGGACCGGCUAAGUCCGUG
Molecule: ribosomal RNA, 490 nt
Filed under: uncultured bacterium
Lineage: Bacteria
Description: partial 16S ribosomal RNA
Rfam family: Bacterial small subunit ribosomal RNA
Source: RNAcentral